AGCGGGGCAGAGAUGAGCCUCCCACGAGUGGGGACCGAGGAGCCCCGACCGCUGUUGUGUCUCAGGCCGUGACCUCCGCUGGAACCAGAGGCCAGCCUGAGAAAAAGACGAACAGGGAGAGAGCAUAUCAUUGAAAUCCGUGGAGGACAGAGCCCCCCGUUUGAAGGCAAAAGCCAGCAGCUUUCCUCUUGGCCUUUUCAUGAAUUCAGUCAUGCCGGGCCGUCAAAACGUGUUAAGCGCCGACUGUAUGCAAGGUAGAAAGAGACAAGUGGGGUGUGCGGAAACAGAACCGCCCGGGGAACGGGGAGUCUGGUGCUGAGAAGACCGGUGUCCCCCAGGUCGUGGGGCAAACAGCCAGCGAGAGACGCGAGAACCCACCCGACGCACCACGGAGGGGACGUGAUUCUAGCUGCUUCCUCACGGGGCUGCUGUCCAACAGAGGUGAGAUGAGCCUCGGGAAGGCCUCAGCCAGGGCCCUGCACCCCGAGCGCCCCGCAGCGGUUCUCGAGGACAAAACCUCCAAUCUGCAGCCCCAGAGCUUCAGGGUGAAGAUGCUACUGUUUUUAAUUUGGCCACAGACGAAGCCUGUUCCUUCUCGUCAUCCUCCCCUGAAGGAGUUGGUGGCGACAGAUCAGCCUGAAAAUCUGCCAGGCAACAGGUUUUUUCCUCUCUGGAAGUACAGGAGGCAGGGGAUGGGAAGUCACGGCGCCUGUGUACGAAGGUGACCAACGGCCCCCGCUUGCCUGGAGCCGUCCAGUUGAGCAUCGGAAGUCCCACAGCCUGGAAAACCUGGCCAGGCGGGCAGUGGGUCCCUGCACCUUGUAUCGCACUAGGUGCCGUCUGCCCCAGAUAUGGGAGCACCACUCGCCGUCCUGAGUCUCGCCGAAGGAGGAGGGGUUGGAGGAGUCUGACUCAGAGAAGCAGACAAAGUGCGGAGUCCGUGCGAUUGGCGAGCCCGGGGGCCUGACGCCUUCAGAGGGGGCAGCCCUUGCUGGGGGCUUUCAGGGCCACGGCUAGAUUCCUUCCAACGCGCUGCCCUCCUUCCUUCCCAUAAACUUCAGCCAUCUCCUAAAACAGGGAGGGGACGGUCAUGAAGAGACAGACCCAAGAACUGAGCAUCCUUAGGGUAGAAAUAAAGCUGGUGAUGAUAUGAACGAAGGGUCUAGGGCUGGGGAAGGGGGACACAGACUUGGCCCCAAAUCCUGGGGCCUCAAAGCCAAGGGAGCCCUGCCCAGAAGGAGGAAGCAGCGAGCGUGCUGAGAGAGCCCAGCUGGAAUGGGGACGGUCACUCGGCCGGGCUCAUCAAAUCUGUACCGAGGAAGGUGGACUGACUCACUGGGGCCUGCCCUCCACGCUCGCUCGUGCUGGCUCGGCUGGGACCUUUGUUUUCUGUCCUAGGACUGCAGCAGGGUCCUGACACUGAAUGGAGGAACUGGGCUCUACCCAGGAGCGCAGGCUGCCCUGUCCCCAAACCCCGGCUGAUGGCGGGCGCGUCCCGGUGGCUCCCCGAGCCUGGGCUGCAGGUCCUGUCUUCCUUGCACACCUGAUCCUAAAGGCGCGGAGGCCACCAAGGGUCGUACCUUGCUCCCCGAUCUGCCGUGUCUUUCCAGGGGUCCGCAGGUCCUGGGAGGGGCCUUACCUUGAGGACCACAGGCUAUGCCUGCUUCAUUUUUAAACAACAUCAAACAAGCAAGUCGAAACUCAAAUUUGACUUUAUUCCCUCUCGUCCCACCCUGACUUCUAGAAACGGCACCAAGGGGUGCUCUGUGGCAAGUGUUUGUCCCGCAUCUGUUUCCCCCACUGGACGGGGAACUCCCUGGGGGUCCGGUUAUCUGCCCUUUGGACCUCCCCCCCACCCAAUCAUGGUAUCGAAUGAACAACUCAGGAAACAACAGAUGUUGGUGAGGAUGUGGAGAAAGGGGAACGCAUUUGCCCUGUUGGUGGGAAUGCACACUGGUGCAGCCGCUCUGGAAAGCAAUCGGGACGUUCCUCAAAAAUUAAACGGAGAACUUCCUCAUGACUCGGCAAUUGCACUACCAGGAAUCUAUCUAAAGGAUACAAAAAUAUGCCAAUUCGAAGGGCACAUGCUACCCCAAUGAUUAUAGCAGCCCAAAUGUCUGCUGAUUGACAAACGGACAAAGAAGAUGUCGUAUAUAUAUAUUACACACACACACACACACACACACACACACACAGUGGAAUACUACUCAG
Long non-coding RNA from Felis catus (domestic cat), 2211 nucleotides. RefSeq lists it as uncharacterized. NCBI's taxonomy places the organism in Eukaryota, Metazoa, Chordata, Mammalia, Carnivora, Felidae. The transcript is spliced from 4 exons. The record is from RefSeq and is a predicted model, not a curated record.